CCUUGUAUACAGACACCACAUGUCGGCCGCAUCCUCCCCAUGAAGUUUUAUCGCAUUUCGAGCAGGUCACUUUAUAGCACAUCUUUUUGAUUUGCCGGGGAGAAGAAUAGAGAAGUUAGUAAAUUAGUUAAUAAGGAGAAGAGAGAUCGACUUCCGAUGAUGGUUGAGGGAGAAUGGAAUGCUUGGGUUUAUAUAGGGAAAAUAAGUCAAAUGUGAAAGGAAGUCAACACCAUGCUUGAGGUCUACGCACUCUCGUAAUAUAUAUAUAUAUAUAUAUAUAUAACAUCUUUGGAGGGAGAGGAAUCUACGACAUAAGAAGGGGCUCUCUCGACCGGUUAGAAUCAUUGCAAGAGAUUUCAUACGAGAUUUGACUAUCAUCUAUGACCACCACCUAUAUAAAAAUUCGCACAUGCUAAGUUUGGAGGAUACACCUAUCAGAAGGUGGGAGAAAGUCUCGCUAUUGAUUACUGACCUACAAAUCGAUAAUUAACAAGAUAUACAAACAUCCUAUCGUAUUUUUAAUUGUUAUUUAAUUGUUUUUUUAUUGUAAUUUUGUAAUCUCUUUAUUUUAUUUUUAAUCGCAUUUAAAAAAAAGUCAAAUGUGAGAGAUUAAGUUAUUUUUCUGAUAUUCUACAGGAACAAUUUUUGUUAUACGAUUACAGCAGUAGAAGGCUGUUAAUUUUAUUUUGAAAAAUGGCAAACAGAACAAUGAGAAAUUGAGAAGGUAAAGUAAUGCAUUUCCAUUGUGUGGAAUAUAACCUAUUAGAGUUUAUAAAUCGUGUUAUCGUAUCAUAUAAUCGUGUCGUGUCAAUUUAUGUUACGUGUAAUAUUAUUAUGAACGUGUCGUGUUAAUUUUUUUAGUCUAUUAUUACUAGUCCUAAUUAAAUUCACCAG
This 894-nucleotide long non-coding RNA is filed under the name Zostera marina. RNAcentral's name for it is "long non-coding RNA (ZMAR_LNC001779)". Lineage: Eukaryota; Viridiplantae; Streptophyta; Magnoliopsida; Alismatales; Zosteraceae. The record is from RNAcentral.